AUUCUGGUUGAUCCUGCCAGAGGCCGCUGCUAUCCGGCUGGGACUAAGCCAUGCGAGUCAUGGGGCGCAGGCCGCUCUUGCGGUCUGCGCACCGGCGGACGGCUCAGUAACACGUGGACAACCUACCCUCGGGAGGGGGAUAACCCCGGGAAACUGGGGCUAAACCCCCAUAGGGGAUAGGUGCUGGAAUGCCCUAUCCCCGAAAGUGCACGGUUGCCGUAAGGCGCCGUGCAGCCCGAGGAUGGGUCUGCGGCGGAUUAGGUAGUUGGCGGGGUAACGGCCCGCCAAGCCGAAGAUCCGUACGGGCCAUGAGAGUGGGAGCCCGGAGAUGGCCCCUGAGACACGGGGCCAGGCCCUACGGGGCGCAGCAGGCGCGAAACCUCCGCAAUGCGGGAAACCGCGACGGGGUCAGCCGGAGUGCCCGCGCAUCGCGCGGGCUGUCGGGGAGCCUAAACAGCUCCCCAUAGCAAGGGCCGGGCAAGGCCGGUGGCAGCCGCCGCGGUAAUACCGGCGGCCCGAGUGGCGGCCACUAUUAUUGGGCCUAAAGCGUCCGUAGCCGGGCUGGUAAGUCCCCCGGGAAAUCUGGCGGCUUAACCGUCAGACUGCCGGGGGAUACUGCCAGCCUAGGGACCGGGAGAGGCCGGGGGUAUUCCCGGGGUAGGGGUGAAAUCCUGUAAUCCCGGGAGGACCACCUGUGGCGAAGGCGCCCGGCUGGAACGGGUCCGACGGUGAGGGACGAAGGCCAGGGGAGCGAACCGGAUUAGAUACCCGGGUAGUCCUGGCUGUAAACGAUGCGGGCUAGGUGUCGGGCGAGCCACGAGCUCGCCCGGUGCCGGAGGGAAGCCGUUAAGCCCGCCGCCUGGGGAGUACGGCCGCAAGGCUGAAACUUAAAGGAAUUGGCGGGGGAGCACUACAACGGGUGGAGCCUGCGGUUUAAUUGGAUUCAACGCCGGGAAGCUUACCGGGGGAGACAGCUCGAUGAAGGUCGGGCUGAAGACCCUACCAGAGUAGCUGAGAGGUGGUGCAUGGCCGCCGUCAGUUCGUACUGUGAAGCAUCCUGUUAAGUCAGGCAACGAGCGAGACCCGCGCCCCCAGUUGCCAGCGGGUCCCUUCGGGGACGCCGGGCACACUGGGGGGACUGCCGGCGCUAAGCCGGAGGAAGGUGCGGGCAACGGCAGGUCCGUAUGCCCCGAAUCCCCCGGGCUACACGCGGGCUACAAUGGCCGGGACAAUGGGUACCGACCCCGAAAGGGGUAGGUAAUCCCCUAAACCCGGCCUCACCUGGGAUCGAGGGCUGCAACUCGCCCUCGUGAACCUGGAAUCCGUAGUAAUCGCGCCUCAAAAUGGCGCGGUGAAUACGUCCCUGCUCCUUGCACACACCGCCCGUCAAGCCACCCGAGUGGGCCAGGGGCGAGGCCCGCUCCUUAGGGGCGGGUCGAGCCCAGGGUCCGCGAGGGGGGCUAAGUCGUAACAAGGUAGCCGUAGGGGAAUCUGCGGCUGGAUCACCUCCU
Molecule: ribosomal RNA, 1511 nt
Organism: Ferroglobus placidus DSM 10642
Lineage: Archaea; Methanobacteriati; Methanobacteriota; Archaeoglobi; Archaeoglobales; Archaeoglobaceae
Rfam family: Archaeal small subunit ribosomal RNA
Source: Rfam